GAUGAACGCUAGCGGCAGGCCUAAUACAUGCAAGCCGAACGGCAAGUUUGAUAGCAAUAUUGGACCUAGAGUGGCGCAAGGGUGCGUAACACGUAUGCAACCUGCCCGCGACAGGAGGAUAGCUCCCCGAAAGGGGAAUUAACCCCCCAUAACACCAUGAGCAGCCAUCUGAUGAUGGUUAAACCGCAAGGGGUCGCGGAUGGGCAUGCGGUUGAUUAGCUAGUUGGCGGGGUAAAGUCCCACCAAGGCGGUGAUCAAUAGGGGUGCUGAGAGGUAGGUCUGAGACGCUGGCACUGCAAAACGGGACAGACUUCUACGGGAGGCUGCAGUAGGGAAUAUUGGACGAUAGUUGCGAGACUGAGCCAGCCGUGCCGCGUGCAGGAAGAAGGUCUUCUGGGUCGUAAACUGCUUUUUCAUGUGGAUAAGAUACCCGUGCGCGGGGAAUUGAAGGUAACAGUGGAAUAAGCCACGGCAAAUUACGU
RNAcentral lists this ribosomal RNA (482 nucleotides) under uncultured bacterium. Its description in RNAcentral is "partial 16S ribosomal RNA". It matches the Rfam family "Bacterial small subunit ribosomal RNA", at positions 28 to 506 of the family's 1533-position model. The record is from RNAcentral.